Long non-coding RNA from Monodelphis domestica (gray short-tailed opossum), 793 nucleotides. RefSeq lists it as uncharacterized. Lineage: Eukaryota; Metazoa; Chordata; Mammalia; Didelphimorphia; Didelphidae. The record is from RefSeq and is a predicted model, not a curated record.
UCGGCGUCUCGAGACCCGCCCCGGCCCCACCGCGCGCGCCAGAGCCGAGCGGUUUCCGGGAGCCCGUUGCCUGGACGCGGUUGCUUGGCAGCCCGAGGUGGAGGCUUUCCCCGCCAACCCCAGCCCCUGACAGGGGGAGAAAGGAUUGCUAUGAUUGGACCCAUAGAUCUGACCCUCCAGUUAGUAAGCAUUGGUCACGCUUCACCUGAGCAAGGUGAAUGAAUACUUACUGGAAAGGAGGAAAGCGAGUUUUCAUGAAUUACCUUGCAGUCUGCAGCUGAAACUCAACUCGAUCACUUCCCAGGACAAUGCCUCACUUAAUUUGCAUCCUUUACCUUGCACUCCCUUCUGCAGGAACUGUUCCCCCCUCUAUCGGAUCUGGGCUCUAACUCCUUCUCUUUUGACUGCUGCCUUCCAGUGCCCCACCCCCACCCCCUUGCACCCAACCCUUUCCAGACUUCUGCCAGUAUUUUAUGUUCUGAGAAUGAUACACGAAGCAAUCCACUUUAUUCCCUGGGGCGAGGGGGAAGGGAGGAGAGAUAUUACUGUCAUUGCACCUAUCAGCAUAUAUAAAAAUAUUUUAUUUUCCCAAUUACAUGUAAUCAUUUUAAACAUGUUUGCCGAACUUCUAAAAUCCAAAUUGUCUCCUUCCCUCCCUUUCUUCCUCAGAGAUGGUAAACAAUUUGAUCGGGGUUAUACAUUUAUUAUCAUGGAAAACAUACUUCAAUAUUGGUCAUUGUUGUAAGAGAAUACUCAUCUAAAACCAAAACCCCAAAAUAAAAACACAAAUAAA